UACGUUCAUCAUGUUUUACAUGACGGAAGUAGGCAAAAGCCGAAGGAACGCAUG
This 54-nucleotide non-coding RNA is filed under the name unclassified sequences. The record is from Rfam.